GCCCUUAGAGUUUGAUCCUGGCUCAGAACGAACGCUGGCGGCGUGGUUUAGGCAUGCAAUUCGUACGAAUUAGUGCAGAGCAAAGCGCGAACUGCAGCAAUGCAGCGAGUGAAUAGCUCGUGUUAAUUAGUGGCGUAAGGGUGAGUAACACGUGGGUAAUCUACUCCCAAGACAGGAAUAACCUGCCGAGAGGCAGGCUAAUACCGGAUAAGACUACAAGGAAGACAUCUUCCAGUAAUAAAAGGGUGGCUUAAGUCUUAGACUGCUGCCGCUUGGGAAGGAGCCUGCGCCCCAUUAGCUAGUUGGUAGGGUAAAAGCCUACCAAGGCGACGAUGGGUAGCCGGCCUGAGAGGGUGAACGGCCACACUGGGACUGAGACACUGCCCAGACUCCUACGGGAGGCUGCAGUCGAGAAUCUUUCGCAAUGGACGAAAGUCUGACGAAGCGACGCCGCGUGAGCGAUGAAGGUCUUCGGAUUGUAAAGCUCUGUCACCGGGGAAGAAGGCUGCCUGAUAAAUAGUUGGGUAGCUUGACGGUACCCGGAGAGGAAGCCCCGGCUAACUCCGUGCCAGCAGCCGCGGUAAUACGGAGGGGGCGAGCGUUGUUCGGAUUUAUUGGGCGUAAAGAGCGUGUAGGUGGUAAUUUAAGUCGGGCGUGAAAACCUCUGGCUCAACCAGAGGCUGUCGUUCGAAGCUGAGUAACUUGAGUAUGGGAGAGGGAAGCGGAAUUCCUGGUGUAGCGGUGAAAUGCGCAGAUAUCAGGAGGAACACCGAUGGCGAAGGCAGCUUUCUGGCCCACAACUGACACUGAGACGCGAAAGCGUGGGGAGCAAACAGGAUUAGAUACCCUGGUAGUCCACGCCGUAAACGAUGGGCACUAGGUGUAUCCGCUUAGGCGGAUGUGCCGUAGCUGACGUGUUAAGUGCCCCGCCUGGGGAGUACGAUCGCAAGGUUGAAACUCAAAGGAAUUGACGGGGGCCCGCACAAGCGGUGGAGCAUGUGGCUCAAUUCGAUGCUACGCGAAAAACCUUACCGGGGUUUGACAUGCACUUGACAGCUCUGGAAACAGAGUCUCUCUUCGGAGCAGGUGCACAGGUGCUGCAUGGCUGUCGUCAGCUCGUGUCGUGAGAUGUCGGGUUAAGUCCUACAACGAGCGCAACCCCUGUCCUUAGUUGCCAUCCUGUCUUUAUGAUAGAGGCACUCUAGGGAGACUGCCUACUUUUAAAUAGGAGGAAGGUAGGGAUGACGUCAGGUCCUCAUGGCCCUUAUGUCCGGGGCUGCACACGUGCUACAAUGGCUGGUACAAAGGGUUGCCAAACUGUGAAGUGGAGCUAAUCCCUAAAAGCCAGCCCAAGUUCGGAUUGCAGGCUGAAACCCGCCUGCAUGAAGCUGGAAUCGCUAGUAAUCGCGAAUCAGCAGGUCGCGGUGAAUACGUUCCCGGGCCUUGUACACACCGCCCGUCACACCAACCAAGUCGGGUGUACCCGAAGCUCUGCUUUUAGCGGAUCGAAGGUAUGCUUGGUAAGGAGGGUGAAGUCGUAACAAGGUAACCAAGGGC
This 1557-nucleotide ribosomal RNA is filed under the name uncultured bacterium. RNAcentral describes it as "partial 16S ribosomal RNA". It matches the Rfam family "Bacterial small subunit ribosomal RNA". The record is from RNAcentral.